RNAcentral lists this ribosomal RNA (253 nucleotides) under uncultured bacterium. Its description in RNAcentral is "partial 16S ribosomal RNA". It matches the Rfam family "Bacterial small subunit ribosomal RNA", at positions 524 to 776 of the family's 1533-position model. The record is from RNAcentral.
UACAGAGGGUGCGAGCGUUAAUCGGAAUUACUGGGCGUAAAGCGUGCGUAGACGGUUAUUUAAGUCGGGUGUGAAAGCCCCGGGCUCAACCUGGGAAUUGCAUUCGAGACUGAAUAGCUAGGGUACGGUAGAGGGAAGUGGAAUUUCCGGUGUAGCGGUGAAAUGCGUAGAUAUCGGAAGGAACAUCAGUGGCGAAAGCGAAUCUCUGGACAGUUACUGACACUGAGGCACGAAGGCCAGGGGAGCAAACGGG